Long non-coding RNA from Ornithorhynchus anatinus (platypus), 180 nucleotides. RefSeq lists it as uncharacterized. Lineage: Eukaryota; Metazoa; Chordata; Mammalia; Monotremata; Ornithorhynchidae. The record is from RefSeq and is a predicted model, not a curated record. The transcript has 3 exons.
CACACUGGGACUUCACCUUGAAAAGGAAGCGAAGAGAGAAAGACGAUGAUGUUGUAAGCCUCUGCAGUCUUGACAUUAAGGUGUGCCUGAACUGUUUGUUAGCAACCAAAUCAUUGCCUUACGCUAUCUGACAAGGAAGAGGCAAAAGUCACUUGAGUGCCAGAAGUAAGAUGAUACUGU